This 87-nucleotide transfer RNA is filed under the name Candidatus Nomurabacteria bacterium. RNAcentral's name for it is "tRNA-Ser". It matches the Rfam family "tRNA". From Rfam's summary of the family: Transfer RNA (tRNA) molecules are approximately 80 nucleotides in length. Their secondary structure includes four short double-helical elements and three loops (D, anti-codon, and T loops). Lineage: Bacteria; Candidatus Nomuraibacteriota. The record is from RNAcentral.
GGAGACGUGGCUGAGUGGUCGAAAGCGCCUCACUGCUAACGAGGUGUCCCGUCAAAAGGACCGUGGGUUCGAAUCCCACCGUCUCCG